Non-coding RNA from Cinara cedri, 779 nucleotides. The record is from the annotation of a GenBank genome assembly. Lineage: Eukaryota; Metazoa; Arthropoda; Insecta; Hemiptera; Aphididae.
GACACAUGCCACAUAUUAAUAAAGUGUUAAAUCAUUUCCAGAUUUUCAAAUAUUCUGGUAAAAUGAAUUAAUAUUUUUAAUCUUACACCGAAUCCAUGGCAAUUUUUUUUUUUUUAAUUUAUGAAAAAUCAAAAAAUUAAUAUUUAAACUUUAGAACAUGUUUCCUACAUUUAUAUCUUGGUUUACUAUAUGAUAGAGGCCUAGAAAUAACAUACAAAUCCUAUAACUCCUAAUAUCUAUUUAUGAUUGAACCAGAAAAAAAUGUCUACUUAAAAAUUACACGUACAAUAAUCAAAGUGACAGGUGGCAUUUCAGUGUUUUUUUUCGAAAUUCAACGUCCGGUCUAUAAUUAAUACCAACACGUAUUAUGUUAUUAACACUGAAUACCUUAUGUACUGGACAAAUUCAAUUGUAAACAUGCGAACGGGACAAGUGUUAAUUAUGACGCACGUACAUUAUGAGAUUGGAUACCUGUGCAAGGUACAACUUCCUAAAACAGUUUCCAUAAUGUCUGUUCUCGUUAUUAAUAAGGGCUUCUUGGUCACUGUGUAAAAAUAUCUAAUAGAAUUUUCUCAAAUAUACUGUCUAGUGUUUAUGUAACAGUAUUACGAUUAUAAAUUCGUACAUGAUUUUUUCGACUACAAACCACAAUGGUAACCACAAAGAUUUUAUGCAAAUUACAUUUCAGUUUCUAUUGUACAGUUAGUAUUAUUAAAAUAUUUUAAAAAUUAUAUCCCUAUUAUAUAAUAUAAUAUUGCGCUUAAGUACAAAGACACUAC